UUAACUCGAUUUUGUAUGGAGUUGGAACGUUUGCCUACGUUUGCCGCUAGGAGCGCUGAUCCAACUGCAUACAAAUUAGGGUUA
Bombyx mori (domestic silkworm) is the source of this 84-nucleotide non-coding RNA. The record is from Rfam. NCBI's taxonomy places the organism in Eukaryota, Metazoa, Arthropoda, Insecta, Lepidoptera, Bombycidae.